This 403-nucleotide long non-coding RNA is filed under the name Homo sapiens (human). RNAcentral describes it as "non-protein coding lnc-ANKRD50-2:2". The record is from RNAcentral. Lineage: Eukaryota; Metazoa; Chordata; Mammalia; Primates; Hominidae.
AGAUGGUGCCUAUGCUGUUGGUCUACAGGCUGUAUUUUAUAUAGCAGGGUUUGGUACAAUCUUUCUCAACCAGACCUGGAAGAGAAGUUGUAACAUGGCUGCUGCUCUGCAAGCUCACAUCCACUAUCCAGGCUGAAGCCAGAAGAAGUGGGAAGAGAAAAACCAAAGGACAGUGCCCUCUGUAAACCACUUUUAAAAAACGUUUCUCAGCAGCUACUCUUUAGAGGUAUGAUGGAUCUCCCCACAAAGUCUGGUUCAGGUGUCAAGACCUACACACCAAGAAACGAUGAGAAGAAUUAUCAUUCACAUGAGACUUUCUGGGGCAAGCAGAGUGGCUACCAAACAGGUCUUAAAAUGGCUUGAGAAAUCCAGGUAAGGAGAUUGGCUUGAAAUUGUUAUGGUG